GAUGAACGCUGGCGGCGUGCCUAACACAUGCAAGUCGAGCGAUUCUCUUCGGAGAAGAGCGGCGGACGGGUGAGUAACGCGUGGGUAACCUGCCCUGUACACACGGAUAACAUACCGAAAGGUAUGCUAAUACGGGAUAACAUAAGAAAUUCGCAUGUUUUUCUUAUCAAAGCUCCGGCGGUACAGGAUGGACCCGCGUCUGAUUAGCUAGUUGGUGAGGUAACGGCUCACCAAGGCGACGAUCAGUAGCCGACCUGAGAGGGUGAUCGGCCACACUGGAACUGAGACACGGUCCAGACUCCUACGGGAGGCAGCAGUGGGGAAUAUUGCACAAUGGGGAAACCCUGAUGCAGCAACGCCGCGUGAGUGAAGAAGCUCUUCGGAGCGUAAAACUCUGUCCUAAGGGAAGAAGCCUGACGGUACCUUAGGAGGAAGCCCCGGCUAACUACGUGCCAGCAGCCGCGGUAAGAGUACUCUAU
RNAcentral lists this ribosomal RNA (479 nucleotides) under uncultured bacterium. Its description in RNAcentral is "bacterial SSU rRNA". It matches the Rfam family "Bacterial small subunit ribosomal RNA", at positions 28 to 531 of the family's 1533-position model. The record is from RNAcentral.